GAAUGGGGAAACCCAGUGUGACUCGUCACACUAUCAUUAACUGAAUCCAUAGGUUAAUGAGGCGAACCGGGGGAACUGAAACAUCUAAGUACCCCGAGGAAAAGAAAUCAACCGAGAUUCCCCCAGUAGCGGCGAGCGAACGGGGAGGAGCCCAGAGCCUGAAUCAGCAUGUGUGUUAGUGGAAGCGUCUGGAAAGGCGCGCGAUACAGGGUGACAGCCCCGUACACAAAAGCGCAUGUGCUGUGAGCUCGAUGAGUAGGGCGGGACACGUGGUAUCCUGUCUGAAUAUGGGGGGACCAUCCUCCAAGGCUAAAUACUCCUGACUGACCGAUAGUGAACCAGUACCGUGAGGGAAAGGCGAAAAGAACCCCGGCGAGGGGAGUGAAAAAGAACCUGAAACCGUGUACGUACAAGCAGUGGGAGCACCCUUUGGGGUGUGACUGCGUACCUUUUGUAUAAUGGGUCAGCGACUUAUAUUCUGUAGCAAGGUUAACCGAAUAGGGGAGCCGGAGGGAAACCGAGUCUUAAUUGGGCGUUAAGUUGCAGGGUAUAGACCCGAAACCCGGUGAUCUAGCCAUGGGCAGGUUGAAGGUUGGGUAACACUAACUGGAGGACCGAACCGACUAAUGUUGAAAAAUUAGCGGAUGACCUGUGGCUGGGGGUGAAAGGCCAAUCAAACCGGGAGAUAGCUGGUUCUCCCCGAAAGCUAUUUAGGUAGCGCCUCGUGAAUUCAUCUCCGGGGGUAGAGCACUGUUUCGGCUAGGGGGCCAUCCCGGCUUACCAACCCGAUGCAAACUGCGAAUACCGGAGAAUGUUAUCACGGGAGACACACGGCGGGUGCUAACGUCCGUCGUGAAGAGGGAAACAACCCAGACCGCCAGCUAAGGUCCCAAAGUCAUGGUUAAGUGGGAAACGAUGUGGGAAGGCCCAGACAGCCAGGAUGUUGGCUUAGAAGCAGCCAUCAUUUAAAGAAAGCGUAAUAGCUCACUGGUCGAGUCGGCCUGCGCGGAAGAUGUAACGGGGCUAAACCAUGCACCGAAGCUGCGGCAGCGACACUCA
RNAcentral lists this ribosomal RNA (1059 nucleotides) under Salmonella enterica. RNAcentral describes it as "bacterial LSU rRNA". It matches the Rfam family "Bacterial large subunit ribosomal RNA", at positions 116 to 1217 of the family's 2925-position model. The record is from RNAcentral. Lineage: Bacteria; Pseudomonadati; Pseudomonadota; Gammaproteobacteria; Enterobacterales; Enterobacteriaceae.